Molecule: long non-coding RNA, 912 nt
Organism: Solanum dulcamara
Lineage: Eukaryota; Viridiplantae; Streptophyta; Magnoliopsida; Solanales; Solanaceae
Exons: 3
Source: RefSeq, a predicted model, not a curated record
UAAGUAUUAGUUUUAAUUAAACCAAUAUAUUUUUAAUAAGUUUAUACAUUCUAAUUUUUGUUAUUUUUCUAUUAAGAUUGAUCGGAAGUUCAAUCGACUCAAGAGUAUGAUUAAAUCUACUCGCUCAGAUAUUUUGAAAGACAUUGAAGAAAAAGUUAACCCAUCCAUAAAAGUGUAGUGUCUUUUGUUAAAAUAUUUGUAUUUAUUUGUUUCUUACAAUUAAGAUUUUUCCUAACAUUAUAGAUUCCUGAUCAUGAUAAUAUCGGUAUAUCAAGUCCAAUUCAAAAUAUUGAUUUUGUGCAAUUGUUUAAUGUGGUUGAAGAACCACAACCACCUACUAUAGUGGAGGAGUCCAUUAUUAAUCCAAUUAAGUCUGAUGCCCCUAAAACACAAGAAAAAUCUCAUGCAUAGGAAUUUACUCAGGAAUCUGAAUCAUCCAAAAUUCCACAACAAGUAGAUGAUGUAUCACCAAUGCUCAAAGAUUCAGAUUCUGUUGAUUGUGUUCAAGAGAUUGCUACUACAUAUACAUUAAAGGAAUCAGAAACUUCCAAUAUUCCACAACAAAUACAGGAUAUAUCACCAAUGCCCAAGAAAAUAGAUAUUGUUGAAGGUGUUGAAGAGCCUUCUGAUAUAUAUACAUCAAAGGUAAUGUAUCAAAACAACUUUGAGAUACAUUUAGUAUUAAAAAGUUUAUUAUAACUUGAUACAUGUCAUAUAGGUUAAUGUAUCAGAUGAACAGAUUUAAAUCAUGAAAGAAUCAAUUCAGGCUCCUAAUAUGACUAACAUAAGUGAAGAAAAUGUUCAGCAAGUCGAAUACAGAUAAAUCUAAGCACAAUGUGUCGAUGGGCUUCUAAAAUUUUAUCUUGUUCAAUAUUUUUUAGUUUUUGGUUAUUAUUUCAAUCCAAUUACAAA